CACGGAGCGGCUGCUGCUGCGAUCACCUGAGCGACAGAGAGAUGAAGCGCCUCCAGCAAGAAAGCCAGAUUCUCUGCAAAGCUUCCCUGAAACGAAAAACAGGUGGAGCUGCCGCGUUAUUUCUUUCAGCGCUAUUCUGUCGUCCGUCUGCAGGAGACCUGCGGCAAACAGGGA
Long non-coding RNA from Epinephelus fuscoguttatus (brown-marbled grouper), 174 nucleotides. RefSeq lists it as uncharacterized. Lineage: Eukaryota; Metazoa; Chordata; Actinopteri; Perciformes; Serranidae. The record is from RefSeq and is a predicted model, not a curated record. The transcript has 3 exons.